GAUCUAAGGUAUUUCUUGCUGGAACAGGAAAUAGUAUCACCAGACCAGACACAGUCAUCCUAAAAUACACUGACAUUUCUUGUCGUGAGCAGCUGACAGAAAGGGAAAGGAAGGGCUUCCGAGAACCGGCUUCGGCUGCAUGGAUCCCAGUGUGGGUGUAACCCAGUGGAGGGGCUGCAUAGCAACGUUAAAACAUCUCAGAAAACCCAAGUACAGGCUGGAUGCUGUCCAGAAGAGGUCCUCCAUAUUUCCUCGAGAAAACAGCAACUAAACAGAAGCUUCUGCAUCCUGUCAAUCACGUUAAGAAGUAGAGUUCUAGAAAAAAAGGCACCCUAAGAAGUCAUCUGGUAUAAUUAUUGAUCUCCAAACAAAUCUGUGUCUGCCUUCUGACAGUCACACACAGCUGCACAAGGGCCAAACUUGAUGGAAUCACUGCUCAAAUACCUGGUGCUCACCCUCCAGGCCCGCACCACCCCUUGAACGAAAGGUCUCCUUUCUGGUCCUCUCUUUCCAAUCCACCGACUUCCCCAUAACUGUGGCAGCACUGCUUCGGUUUGUGUGUGGUGCUGGGGAUCAAAAUUAAGGCUUUCCACUUGCUGCACAAGUAAUCUACCACUGAGCCACAGCUUUUUAAAUCUUUAUUAUUGUCAUCAUCAUUAUUAAUUUUGGGGCUGGGAUAGGGCUGAGGGAUUGAGACAUGGUCUUACUAUUCAGCUCCGUCUGACUUCAGACUCUUCCUGCAUCCUGAAGAUAUAUAGGCAAACCCACAAUAGCCAGCUCAAAAAUAAAUUCUUGGAGAUUCUUGAAAAUUUUAAAAAGUUAUUCCCCUUCUAUGGCUGUCCUCUCACCUUUCCCAUGAUCAGAUUCUGGACACUUCUGCUCUUAUCCUUCAUUCUCUCCUGGAUUUAAACAUCUCAUCUUGAGCUAGUACUAUCGACACAGGUGCAGUUCUUACAUUUUACAAAAAAAGGAAAAAAAAGUAAUUGUUUGGUGACAAAGAUACAUUAUGCAUAUUGCUCUCUUUACAACCGCCAACCAAAUAAAGGAGCCCUCCUGAGCCAGCAGGCAGCAGCCUGGGUCAAGGCCUGGGCCUUGGUUGGGUUCAGCUGUGGACAUCAUCAUUCGCGGGGCACACUGGCCUCUACCAGCUGGAACUGGAAUGACAACAGAAAUGGAGCGCUUACAGUAGGAUAUGUUCAGUUCACCGGGAAAGAGAAACGAGGGCAAGGGGAGCAGGGAAAGAGCUGACAGCCGACGAGCACAAAAAUGCUCUCACAGAAAAAAGGAGAUUUGCCCAAGAAGAUGAUCACAUUGAAAAAUCGAAUCUCCUCAGGCAAAGCAAACUGUAUGCCAGGAAAGGUCGGCCAGCCCUCCCACAUUGCAGUGAUUGCAACCAACUAUUUGUUUUAAAGUGUGUUCCCUGGUGUCUGUGUUUUCAGAGUCUACUCUGCCUCAUGUAUAAAAACUACUAAAGGGGGAGGGAGGCAGAAACAUCUUUUCUUAUUCUUUGUCUGGGAAUAUUAACUGAUUCUCAGGUAUUCAAGUAUGCUAUUUGUACAGAAUCCAAAGCACAUUCUUUCCCCUACAUACCAGUCGAUGGUGAAACACCCACAUGCUGAAUGGCAAGGGAAAAUGUGCUGGACCUUAACAGCUGCCGGGUGCAAACAGGUGGCAUCAGAAAUUUUGCCCAAUUCUUGUGUUGUUAUUCAUCCAGCAUAUUCUGGAUCUUGCCUCAAGUAGCCUCUGAGUUCACUUAACCUGGGAGAAGGGAUGCUGUGUACACUCUUAUGAGAGUUUGCAUCUCAUAGGCUUAAUAAAAACCCGAGGGGUGAAGCAAUGUGGAAACAACUGGAGGAACUGACAGGCAUUUCACGUCGAGUGACAACCCUCAGCAUAGGAAGUAUCGGAUAGUGGGCAAGGAACAUCCGCGGAGCUGCUCCCUCUGAAAAACAGCUUUCUCCAAGAUGAAACCAACGAAUUAGUGGACCCUUAUAAAGCUGCAGAAAAAAGACAGGUUCAAUCUAUAAUAUAUGCAUGAGCAUACAUAGCCAGAUGUAAGUAGACUCUAAGAAUCUAGGAGGGAGAACAAGGCUGUAAAACACAAGGUAAGAGGAGGGAUGAGAUUGGGCAAAAGGACACAUAAUUCAUGAACGAGAAGAAUAAUCUGUGAGGGGGAUGACUGACAGCGAGGGGGAACAGAGGGAACAGGGGCUGGGAAGGAUGAGGGAAGGAGAAUCGUAAAAUCACGUUGUAUUUUUAAAUGGCAUCUUGGUAUCUAAAACAUCACAUGCUGGUUUAAAUGUAUUUGUUUAAUAAUAUGUUUAAUAAUUAUAAAAGCAUUUGUUUAAUUUUAAAAAUAGAAGGUCAGUUUCUGUUUGACUCUUGAUAAGAAGUCCUGGUCACAAUUAAUAGUGCUACUCACAUGGGUGGUCCUAGAGGAGAGCUUUAAGGACUUCAGCCCACUGAAUCCUCGUAACGCUUCUGCAAUCAUUUCUCUGCUUCACAGACAAAGGAUUGGAAGACCAGAGGUGAGAGCAAAUUUGUGUAGGGUGACGUGGCUUGUUAAAGUGGCGGGGGGGGGGGGGUUGUGAAAUGUGAAUUAUUUGUAAAGCACUUAUCCUAAGUAUAGACAUGACCAACAUGAGAUCAGAGAUAGGAAAAUCACCAACACAGAGAUCAAGGGCUCUGAAGUCAAAUGACAAGCACUGGGGAGAUGUCCCAGCAGUUAACAGUACUUCUACUCCUACAGAGGAUCCAAGUUCAGUUCCCUGUGCCUACGUGGUGACUCACAACUAUCUGCAACUCCAAUUCUAAGGGAUCCACUGCCUCCUCUGACCUCUUCAGGCCACAGCAUGCGUGUUGUGCAAAUAUUUGAACUCAGACACAUACACAUAUACCUAAAAGUAAGCAAAUGAACAAACAAAUAAAUAAUAUUCAAAAUCCAAGAGAAGACCCCACCUCUUUGUCGUUUGAUUUUUCGAUAUUCUAUCAAGGUCAGAUGUUUAAAAAGAGAGUCUGACAACUUGCCCUGUGGACCAUACAUUAGUGUUCAAAAUCUAUUUUUGUUAAGUGUAUAUUAAUUAUACGUAGUAAUGGACUUCCUUAAGAUAUUUUAGCACUAGCUCAUAAGGUACUUUGAUCAUAUAUGAGCGUGCGUAAGCACGCAUACACACACACACCCCUCUCAGGUCUCCUUUUGCCCUUUGCUUUCUAAUUGUUUCUUCACGCUCCAGUGCCUACAUUCACAUUCCGUCGUUCUGUCUCCUCUGAUUGUUCCAUCAUCCCUUUUAACUACCCAUAUGUUAAGAUGUUAAGCUCCAUCUUGCAAGCUUGGAGAAGUUGCAACAUCAUGGAACAUCAUGGAAGUUCAGAGGAGACAAGGAGACAUGGCUGCUUCACUAACCCUAAUUAUAAACUUCAGCCAGAAGACUUCCCUGUUUCUUUGGCUUCCUUUCACCCCCUGGCUUGAUUUCCAGCCCUUGUACCCCUAGGGCAGGAUUAAGGACCAAGCAGUAGGUCACUGUAUCCUGAAAAGACACUGAAGCUGCGGGCUAGACAGAAAUUCUAGUUCUAAGAAGCCGUUCCAGCGAUGUCAAGGCCAAACAUCCCCUCUCCCUUUUCCUUUGGUUCUGGCAGAGGUCACAACACAGCCUCUUCAAACAUCCAUACAGAUUCUAUCUGUUAAACGACAGAUACAAAGAGCAGACCCUUUUUUCAGAUAUUCAGACUUGAGUAGAAAUUUAUACUGCUGGCCUCCAGCCCAUCACUGACAAAACAUUUUCUCUCAGCCAGAAAAUAGUGGCAACUCCCUUCUCCGGCUCUGCUUAUGUAUUCAAAGAGUGCAUAGGUACCUGUCUCAGGGCCAGCCUGUCAGCUACCUUCUCUCUUUUGCUAGAAGCCCACACUUGCCGAGGAAGUGCAUAAUUGCUGUUUUAAUGCUGAUUGAAUUCUCCUACUAUUAGUCCCUGAACUCUGACAGUCCCAUCGUACUUCUGCUUUUUAAUAAUUAAUUCUAUGCUGACUGUUACUGAUUAGGACUAAAUUUUACCCCAGGAUGCCCAGGGAAUAAAUGUUUUUAUUAAGAGUACAAGAAAGGGAAAGCCAUUCUGAAAAAUUGAAAAGAUUCUUGUGAUUUCCCUCUGGAGACUCAUUGAGCCCAGUGCAGAGCUGACUUGUGGUUAUUAUAUGAUCAGCUGAAGCUAAUCUGUGUGGCUGCCGCCUGCCAUGUCCCGCCAUUUGUAUGUGAUCUCUCAUCUACUAAUACAUAAUGUAUAGAUCUGGAUAUGGGCGAAUCAAUUAUCCUGCUUCAAGGAAGCAAACACAAACUAAUGGAAACAUUAGCCUGAGACAUCCAGAAAAUUGGAGAAUUGAUGCCUCAGAUGUUUGUGUUUUACAGGGGUGCUGAGUGCGUGCCAAAGAAGAGGGAGGCGGAGAACGGAGUGCAGAGAAGGCAGAAGAGGGGAAGGGGAUACUCUCAUCAUCAGAGAAUGGACUGUCUGGCUCCUCUACAUAAAAGACAUCUGUCCAUAACAACAAAAUUCCAUGUAAAACAACACUCAGCUGAUUCCGGGAAUCUCAGCCUACUCGUAUUAUUACUUUAUCAGAUACAACAACAUGUGUACUUAAAUCUUUUGAGCCAAACCAAGGAUCAGCAUGAACAUACUCUGGAGAAAUUAAAACCAGUCUAAAACCACAAUCCUGGAGAACUUAUACAACAAUGUGGACACUAAGAGAGGCUUACAUAGAUCUAAUCUACAUGGGAAGUAGAAAAAGACAAGAUCUCUUGAGUAAGU
This is a non-coding RNA of Myodes glareolus (Bank vole), 4793 nucleotides long. Lineage: Eukaryota; Metazoa; Chordata; Mammalia; Rodentia; Cricetidae. The record is from RefSeq and is a predicted model, not a curated record.